This 505-nucleotide ribosomal RNA is filed under the name uncultured bacterium. RNAcentral's name for it is "partial 16S ribosomal RNA". It matches the Rfam family "Bacterial small subunit ribosomal RNA", at positions 28 to 507 of the family's 1533-position model. The record is from RNAcentral.
GACGAACGCUGGCGGCGUGCCUAAUACAUGCAAGUAGAACGCACAGUUUAUACCGUAGCUUGCUACACCAUAAACUGUGAGUUGCGAACGGGUGAGUAACGCGUAGGUAACCUGCCUGGUAGCGGGGGAUAACUAUUGGAAACGAUAGCUAAUACCGCAUAAUAUUAAUUAUUGCAUGAUAAUUGAUUGAAAGAUGCAAUUGCAUCACUACCAGAUGGACCUGCGUUGUAUUAGCUAGUAGGUGAGGUAACGGCUCACCUAGGCGACGAUACAUAGCCGACCUGGGAGGGUGAUGGGCCAAAAGGGGACUGGGACAAGGCCCAGACGCCUACGGGAGGCAGCAGUAGGGAAUAUUCGGAAAUGGACGAAAGUCUGACCGAGCAACGGCGCGUGAGUGAAGAAGGUUUUCGGAUCGUAAAGCUCGGUUGUAAGAGAAGAACGGGUGUGAGAGGGGAAAGUUCACACUGUGAGGGUAUCUUACCAGAAAGGGACGGCUAACUACGUG